This 86-nucleotide non-coding RNA is filed under the name Lachnoclostridium edouardi. RNAcentral describes it as "Glycine riboswitch". It matches the Rfam family "Glycine riboswitch aptamer", at positions 9 to 86 of the family's 94-position model. From Rfam's summary of the family: This family represents the bacterial glycine riboswitch. The record is from RNAcentral. Lineage: Bacteria; Bacillati; Bacillota; Clostridia; Lachnospirales; Lachnospiraceae.
UCUCUCUGGAGAGUCUCAGUUAGAGCGCCGAAGGUGUACGGCAGGGAAGAAGAACCUGCCAAUCUCUCAGGCAAAAGGACAGGGUU